RNAcentral lists this microRNA precursor (203 nucleotides) under Oryza nivara. Its description in RNAcentral is "MIR812 microRNA precursor family". It matches the Rfam family "MIR812 microRNA precursor family". The record is from Rfam by way of RNAcentral. Lineage: Eukaryota; Viridiplantae; Streptophyta; Magnoliopsida; Poales; Poaceae.
AAUAAAUACAAUUUUACACUGUUUAUAUCUAAUAUUCGAUCGUUUGUUUUAUUUUAAAAAAAUUGUGAUUAGUAUUUAUAUUGUUAUUAGAUGAUAAAACAUAAAUAAUACUUUACGUGUGACUAUUUUUAAAUUCUUUUAUAAUUUUUUAAAUAAGAUGAACGGUCAAACAUUGAACACGGAUUCUCACGGCUGCAUUUAUU